Molecule: ribosomal RNA, 419 nt
Filed under: uncultured bacterium
Lineage: Bacteria
Description: bacterial SSU rRNA
Rfam family: Bacterial small subunit ribosomal RNA
Source: RNAcentral
AGUGAACGCUGGCGGCGUGCUUAACACAUGCAAGUCGAGCGAGGUACCUAUUUCCGCAAGGAAGUAAGGGCCUAGCGGCAGACGGGUGAGUAACACGUAGACAAUCUACCUUCUAGAGGGGGAGUAGCCCGCCGAAGGCGGGGUAAGUACCGCGUAAGAUCAAGUUUCGGCAUCGGAAUUUGAUGAAACGUCCGCAAGGACGGCUAGAAGAGGGGUCGUGCGGCCUAUCAGCUAGUUGGCGGGGUAACGGCCCACCAAGGCGACGACGGGUAUCCGGCCUGAAAGGGCGAUCGGACACACUGACACUGAGACACGGGUCAGACUCCUACGGGAGGCAGCAGUGAGGAAUAUUGGUCAAUGGACGCAAGUCUGAACCAGCCAUGCCGCGUGAAGGAUGAAGGUCCUCUGGAUUUGUAAAC